Molecule: ribosomal RNA, 459 nt
Filed under: uncultured bacterium
Lineage: Bacteria
Description: partial 16S ribosomal RNA
Rfam family: Bacterial small subunit ribosomal RNA
Source: RNAcentral
CCUACGGGAGGCAGCAGUGAGGAAUAUUGGUCAAUGGGCGGAAGCCUGAACCAGCCAAGUAGCGUGCGGGAUGAAGGCCCUACGGGUCGUAAACCGCUUUUGCACGGGGAUAACACCCUCCACUUGUGGAGGUCUGCAGGUACCGUGCGAAUAAGGGCAGGCUAAUUCCGUGCCAGCCGCCGCGGUAAUACGACAGGCCCGAGCGUUAUCCGGAUUAUUUGGGCUUAAAGGAAAAGUAGGCGGGCGUUAAAGUCAGCGGUAAAAUCGCGCGGCUCACCCGCGCCCCGCAGUUGAAACUGGACGCCUUGAGUGCACAACAGGCAGGUGGAAUUCGUGGUGGAGCGGUGAAAUGCAUAGAUAUCACGAGGAACCCCGAUGGCGAAGGCAGCCUGCCGGGGUGCGACUGACGCUGAGGCUCGAAGGUGCGGGUAUCAAACAGGAUUAGAUACCCCAGUAGUC